RNAcentral lists this ribosomal RNA (253 nucleotides) under uncultured bacterium. RNAcentral's name for it is "partial 16S ribosomal RNA". It matches the Rfam family "Bacterial small subunit ribosomal RNA", at positions 524 to 776 of the family's 1533-position model. The record is from RNAcentral.
UACGAAGGGGGCUAGCGUUGCUCGGAUUGACUGGGCGUAAAGGGCGCGUAGGCGGUUCGUACAGUCAGACGUGAAAUUCCUGGGCUCAACCUGGGGGCUGCGUUUGAUACGUGCGGACUUGAGUGCGGAAGAGGGUCGUGGAAUUCCCAGUGUAGAGGUGAAAUUCGUAGAUAUCUGGAGGAACACCGGUGGCGAAAGCGGUUCACUGGCCCGACACUGACACUGAGGUGCGAAAGCGUGGGGAGCAAACAGG